Molecule: ribosomal RNA, 499 nt
Filed under: uncultured bacterium
Lineage: Bacteria
Description: partial 16S ribosomal RNA
Rfam family: Bacterial small subunit ribosomal RNA
Source: RNAcentral
UUAGAUACCCCAGUAGUCCACACAGUAACGAUGAAUGCUCGUAAUUAGAUAUAAUUUUUAGUUACUUAGCUAACGCGUUAAGCAUUCCACCUGGGGAUUACGAUCGCAAGAUUAAAACUCAAAGGAAUAGGCGGAGAUUUAUACCAACGGUGGAGCAUGUAGUUUAAUUCGAUAGUACACGCAAAAUCUUACAAUUCUUGUAAUUAAAAAAAUUUUUAAAUUAAAUUACUUUUGUUUUAAUUUUAAAGUGGUUUUUAAUUCUCUUUUUAACAGGUGUUGCAUGGCUGUCGUCAGUUCGUGUUUUGAAAUGUUCGGUUUAUUCCACUAACGAGCGCAAUUCUAUAUUUUUAGUUGAUAAAAUUUUUUUUAUUCUAAAAAUACUGCAAAAUGCACUAUUAUCUUAUAAUAGUUUUUGUGUUUUUGAGGAAGGUUUAGAAAUAAGUCAAGUCUGUAUGGCUCUUAUGGAUUGGGCUACAUACGUGCUACAAUGAUAAUUACA